This is a non-coding RNA of Nylanderia fulva, 379 nucleotides long. The record is from RefSeq and is a predicted model, not a curated record. Lineage: Eukaryota; Metazoa; Arthropoda; Insecta; Hymenoptera; Formicidae.
AUUAUUACGAAGCAUGCGAAGAAUCAAAUUACACUGCAGUACAUAUUAAACAAUUUUCAAAAAAUAAAACCAAGUAGUGAUAUGAUACCUGCAGUAUUUAUUAUUAUUAUUAACAACGUAUAUUUUGUAGAUCAAACUGAGCUAAUAAAGGAAUACGUCGAAACAUGGUACACGACAUUUGCAGGCACGUUUCAUAAAAUGAAUAACACAGAAGAUUUACUGAAAAAAUAUCAAUUAAAGGAUUCCAUAAUAGAGAAUUUGGACAAAAUUAAGAGCAAAGUAUUAAUUCGCAAGAAACAAAUCAAAAGAGAGACACAGUAUUUUGAAAAUUUUUUUUUCUAAUUGGUGGAUGUAAAAAAAUUGCAGCUUUGCAUACGGA